Molecule: long non-coding RNA, 676 nt
Organism: Mugil cephalus (flathead mullet)
Lineage: Eukaryota; Metazoa; Chordata; Actinopteri; Mugiliformes; Mugilidae
Exons: 3
Source: RefSeq, a predicted model, not a curated record
GAAUCACAUCAGUAGUGUCUCCAGAGGAGAGAGGAUCUCUACCUGUGGCUUCAUAUUCAUCAACUGCACCUUACCUAAUGGGACACACAUAUCAGAGUGGGUGUUUGAAGCCGAUAACACACUGUGUAUUAACCCAACUACUGCCCCUACCACUGCUCCAACUACUGCCCCUCCCACUAGUUUGGGUCACAUGUCCAUCAUAUGUGCGUUGAAAGCAGCUGUGAUAAUUCUCUUGAUAACUGGGAUUCUCGUCUUUUCUGCCUGGAAGAAAAAGAGACAAGGAAAAGCUGAAGGCUCAGUUGUCCCACAGACACUGGAACCUCCAGAGAACUCUGUCAUGAUGGUUGAAAUGAGAGGUUCUGCACCUUAAAACAACAACUAGCGACACAUUUCAUCCGCGCUAGGUUCCUUAUUUUACCCGUUUUUGUCUCUGAAAUACUUUCAAUUGUACUGGCUUUACAUGAAGCACGGCAGCAGAAAAAUGUGUCUUAUAAUAAAAAGCACGUCCUUCAUUAGUGGAUCACUGGUAUCAAAAUGACCCAAUAUUCAAACCUUGUCUGUAUUUUCAUGGAACCAAUUAAUUUUAAGUUUUUAAUGGCUGUUUCAAGUUUUGUUUAGUAUUUUGUCUGUGACUGUACUAAUAAAUUGCACUUGAAGAUCUAAGAGUGAUUGUUAA